Dermacentor andersoni is the source of this 668-nucleotide non-coding RNA. The record is from RefSeq and is a predicted model, not a curated record. NCBI's taxonomy places the organism in Eukaryota, Metazoa, Arthropoda, Arachnida, Ixodida, Ixodidae.
GAGAAGCAAUGGCCGCCUGCGAAGUCGACGCUGGUGCGACAACGUUCGGUGAAACUACGAAUGAAAGUACCCAGAAGGUGUGUGAAGCUUCGGAUUCUGUGAUCGAACGGACCCUCGAGAGAACCCGCUUCCACCCGUGCGUCUACGACACAAGACGAAUGGAUUACCGCGAUCAAGCAAGAAAAAACACUAUGGGGAGCAGCCACCCGCCGCCAAUGCGGUCUCGCUACAGUCGAAGAAUGCCUGAAACUUUGGAAAAGGCUGCGAGAACGCUACACCCGCGAGACAAAGGCUUUUGAGUUGGCGACGCGGAGCAGCAGCGGCUUCGUUUCAAGGCGAACGUGGGAAUUAGCGCAGUCAAUGGAAUUCUACAAGAACUAUGGCCGCCAGACCAAAGCCACGUGCAAGCUUGAGGAGGUACCAUCAGCAGUAGAGGACGACACCACAGCAGAAGCAACUUAUACGUCGAUACAGCGAGGUACAUCUUCGCCGAUAGGGAGCAGCAACUGCGACCAUGAACAAUUUUCAACGGGCCACACAGAUCUACAUGACGAGGACGAAGCCGCUUUGCAGGCGACAAAAGAGCCAUCGAAGAAUACAUUAAAAAACGUAAAGCAAAUGACGUAUUUGAGCAACAGUUGUACUUCCAUCUGCAACAAAAAAUGGCC